Molecule: ribosomal RNA, 1392 nt
Filed under: uncultured marine bacterium
Lineage: Bacteria
Description: 16S ribosomal RNA
Rfam family: Bacterial small subunit ribosomal RNA
Source: RNAcentral
ACGCUGGCGGCACGCCUAACACAUGCAAGUCGAACGAAGUAGCAAUACUUAGUGGCAGACGGGUGAGUAACAUGUGGGUAUCUGCCCUUUGGCCUGGAAUAACACGAGGAAACUUGUGCUAAUACUGGAUAAGUCUUUACGGAGAAAGCUUUAUGCACCAUUGGAUGAGCCCGCACUUGAUUAGUUUGUUGGUGGGGUAAUGGCCUACCAAGACUGUGAUCAAUAGCUGAUUUGAGAGGAUGAUCAGCCACAUUGGGACUGAGACACGGCCCAAACUCCUACGGGAGGCAGCAGUGGGGAAUCUUGCACAAUGGAGGAAACUCUGAUGCAGCGAUGCCGCGUGAGUGAAGAAGGCCCUUGGGUUGUAAAGCUCUUUCGUCGGGGAAGAAAAUGACUGUACCCGAAUAAGAAGGUCCGGCUAACUUCGUGCCAGCAGCCGCGGUAAUACGAAGGGACCUAGCGUAGUUCGGAAUUACUGGGCUUAAAGAGUUCGUAGGUGGUUGAAAAAGUUGGUGGUGAAAUCCCAGAGCUUAACUCUGGAACUGCCAUCAAAACUUUUCAGCUAGAGUAUGAUAGAGGAAAGCAGAAUUUCUAGUGUAGAGGUGAAAUUCGUAGAUAUUAGAAAGAAUACCAAUUGCGAAGGCAGCUUUCUGGAUCAUUACUGACACUGAGGAACGAAAGCAUGGGUAGCGAAGAGGAUUAGAUACCCUCGUAGUCCAUGCCGUAAACGAUGUGUGUUAGACGUUGGAAAUUUAUUUUCAGUGUCGCAGCGAAAGCGAUAAACACACCGCCUGGGGAGUACGACCGCAAGGUUAAAACUCAAAUGAAUUGACGGGGACCCGCACAAGUAGUGGAGCAUGUGGUUUAAUUCGAAGAUACGCGCAGAACCUUACCAACACUUGACAUGUUCGUCGCGACUUUAAGAGAUUAAAGUUUUCGGUUCGGCCGGACGAAACACAGGUGCUGCAUGGCUGUCGUCAGCUCGUGUCGUGAGAUGUUGGGUUAAGUCCCGCAACGAGCGCAACCCUCACUUUUAGUUGCCAUCAUUAAGUUGGGCACUCUGAAAGAACUGCCAGUGAUAAGCUGGAGGAAGGUGGGGAUGACGUCAAGUCCUCACGGCCCUUACGUGUUGGGCUACACACGUGCUACAAUGGUAUCUACAACAGGAAGCAAGACGGCGACGUUAAGCAAAUCCUUAAAAGAUACCUCAGUUCGGAUUGCACUCUGCAACUCGAGUGCAUGAAGCUGGAAUUACUAGUAAUCGUGGAUCAGCGUGCCACGGUGAAUGCGUUCCCGGGUCUUGUACACACCGCCCGUCACACCAUGGGAGUUGGUUCUACCUUAAGGCAAGGUUUCAAACCCUUGACCACGGUAUAGUCAGCGACUGGGGUG